This is a long non-coding RNA of Hylaeus volcanicus, 1697 nucleotides long. RefSeq lists it as uncharacterized. The record is from RefSeq and is a predicted model, not a curated record. The transcript is spliced from 4 exons. NCBI's taxonomy places the organism in Eukaryota, Metazoa, Arthropoda, Insecta, Hymenoptera, Colletidae.
GGAAGACUUAAUCUAUUAUUUGAUGAUAAAUACACAGAGUAAGACGAGUAUGCGUAGCAAGAUACAACUUUGUAAUCAGUGUACGUAGAAAGUAACUUCAUGUUUACUGGCCUGAUGUAUGAGGAAAUAAUUGAGAUAAAAAUUUGAAAGUUUUAGGGCUUCUACUUGCCAUUACAAGUAACAACUCUGUCAAGUUUCGCAUCGUGCCAUCAAUUUUUACCAGAGUUACAAAGAAAAAAGGUGGAUUACCAUGGAUCCCCCAAUAAGCCCAAUCUUCGGAAGCUGUAACCACGUACAAACCUGCAACACGAUACAUUUAUAAUGUAUAAAUCGUAUCACGAUUUUAUAUUACCUUAAUAUUAUUCAAAUGGUAAUAUUGAUAAUGCCAAGUUUAUUCCAGCACUUGGCAUUUUUAUGAAUAUUAUUCAAUUUCGUGUGUGUACUGUUCGUCCAACGGAAAGCUGCCUAUGCUAAUUCGGUAUCUGUUCCUCUGCCUGUAGAGUCCAUUUACCCAAUAAGCUCGAUAAGUAAUUGAUUGGACAGGAAAGCAACCGACAGGAAAGCAAAAUUAACCUUGCUCGUCGUUGGCCGAGCCAAAUUCAUUUCGGUACAUCUUUAUUCCCAUGAUGGGAUCAUAACAUGGAUUUUUCAAUUUCUUCAAUUCUUCAAUUUUGAAACUUAAAAAGAUUAUUUAAAGCAGGAUAGCGAGAAAGGAACUCGAGGAAUGAAGAAUUGAUUACGUUUGAACUAGGAAAGCAGAGAUCGUCUCAGAAAUAUUGCAAAGUAAUUUCCAAGAAAAUUUCUGCGUUAUCUUCAAAGAUUCUAAAUUAGUACACACGACGAGCCAAGCACAACAAGCCCCUAAAAGACUUGUAAAAUAAUUAAUCGACAAAGAAAGCUUUGAAAUUCUUUUAUUUGUAAAUGCAUUGCAGUUCAAUAUUACAAAACUGUCCACAAAAUUUGGUAGAGAAAAGGAUUGCAAAGGAAAAAGAUGAAUGAAAGUUGAAAGUGUACUAUAUUUGUAACGUAUACAGUACAUCUGCAUGUGUAAAGUUCAUCUCUUCCCCUUGCGAUUCUUUCCUACAUCUACCGAUAACGAACAUUCAGCUCGUUGCACUUGCUUGGCCCACCCUGUAUGUAAACAGCCAUCGUAGAAACGUUGGCACUUCCUAAAUUGGCGCUUUGUACACCACUGGUGAACAAUUCGAACGACCGUCGGAUUUUAAUGAACAUAUUCCGGUUGCUAAACUGGGUGUGCAAAUACUUUGAAUGUUCCUUGUGGAUCAACUUUGUAUUAGCAUUUUAUAUGGAAUUAGCUAGCUGAAAAUCCACUGUAUGUUACUGUGUGUCGCUUCCAGAGGUUUGCAAUCAAAAUGAUCUUUCUAUUUUAUUAGAGAGGAUUUAUUUAUUGGAGUGGAUUGCAACGAAAGGAACUUACAUGGAAAAAUCUAUAACAACGUGCACAAAUGAAGAUCAUACAAAACAUCAAGAAUAAUAUUUAUAUAUAUUCUACCAUUUAGAAGAUAAAACAUGCAACUAUGAAUUCGCAUAAAUAUUGGCAGGCUAUUUAUAAAGAAAAAUUAAGGAAGGAUGAAAAUAAAAGUACAGAGACUCAAGAUAAGGAAAGGUUUCAAUUUCGUAAUGAAUGCAAAGUUUGGUACAACAUUCGGGGGAAAAAAAAAUUGAAAAUCUCUUUU